This 253-nucleotide ribosomal RNA is filed under the name uncultured bacterium. RNAcentral's name for it is "partial 16S ribosomal RNA". It matches the Rfam family "Bacterial small subunit ribosomal RNA", at positions 524 to 776 of the family's 1533-position model. The record is from RNAcentral.
UACGGGGGGGGCAAGCGUUGUUCGGAAUUACUGGGCGUAAAGGGCGCGUAGGCGGUUGGAUAAGUCAGCUGUGAAAACCACGGGCUUAACUCGUGGCCUGCAGUUGAGACUGUCUGGCUUGAGUGUGGGAGAGGAGAGUGGAAUUCCUGGUGUAGCGGUGAAAUGCGUAGAUAUUGGGAGGAACACCGGUGGCGAAGGCGGCCCCCUGGACCGGUACUGACGCUGAGGCGCGAAAGCGUGGGUAGCAAACGGG